GCACUCGUAGCUCAGCUGGAUAGAGCGCUGCCCUCCGAAGGCAGAGGUCACAGGUUCGACUCCUGUCGAGUGCGCCA
Molecule: transfer RNA, 77 nt
Filed under: Alphaproteobacteria bacterium
Lineage: Bacteria; Pseudomonadati; Pseudomonadota; Alphaproteobacteria
Also listed under: 4 other names
Description: tRNA-Arg
Rfam family: tRNA
About the family: Transfer RNA (tRNA) molecules are approximately 80 nucleotides in length. Their secondary structure includes four short double-helical elements and three loops (D, anti-codon, and T loops).
Source: RNAcentral